UUGAAUUUGCGACGCCGGUUUUGAAUCUGCCGAAUGGUGAUGUAUCAGUGGCUUCCAAGCAUCAAACACCGGGAAGAGAACAAGAAGAGAAUGCAUUUGUUUCCUCCUAAUUUCUCCAGGCUAUGCAAGGAGCGUCUGCAUGGGGGUCUUUCCUUAAGAAAAAUGUGAUGGAAAUCCGCAUCGCUUACCCCACUUGAGGGUCCAAAGAUUUGACCAGAUCGUUGAAAAGCUUGGC
RNAcentral lists this long non-coding RNA (235 nucleotides) under Setaria italica (foxtail millet). RNAcentral's name for it is "long non-coding RNA (SITA_LNC003578)". The record is from RNAcentral. Lineage: Eukaryota; Viridiplantae; Streptophyta; Magnoliopsida; Poales; Poaceae.